CYGGGGGAUAGCCCGAAGAAAUUUGGAUUAAUACCCYAURGUAUARGAGCACGGCAUCGUGMAAUUAUUAAAGCUWMGGYGGURAAAGAUGAGUAUGCGUUCUAUUAGCUAGUUGGAGAGGUAACGGCUCCCCAAGGCGAYGAUAGAUAGGGGUUCUGAGAGGGAUGUCCCCCACACUGGUACUGAGAUACGGACCAGACUCCUACGGGAGGCAGCAGUGAGGAAUAUUGGACAAUGGUCGGAAGACUGAUCCAGCCAUGCCGCGUGCAGGAUGAMGKCCUUAUGGRUUGUAAACUGCU
Molecule: ribosomal RNA, 299 nt
Filed under: Capnocytophaga sp. W309
Lineage: Bacteria; Pseudomonadati; Bacteroidota; Flavobacteriia; Flavobacteriales; Flavobacteriaceae
Description: partial 16S ribosomal RNA
Rfam family: Bacterial small subunit ribosomal RNA
Source: RNAcentral